GGCUAAUGGCUUAUCCCAUAUUUUAGCUACGAAAACUUUAAAGCGAGGCAAGAUAGUUUACCAUGUGCGGGGGGGAGUCCCUGCUUAUGUGGAGUGGAAGAUGACCAUGGAAAGGGAGCAAGAACCAGACUAAGGUACUCCGAUGCGACGAGGGAGAAGGGGGAGAGUGAGGAACACUGUUGAUAAAAAUGUUUUGUCUAAC
RNAcentral lists this long non-coding RNA (202 nucleotides) under Gossypium raimondii (Peruvian cotton). RNAcentral's name for it is "long non-coding RNA (GRAI_LNC004427)". The record is from RNAcentral. Lineage: Eukaryota; Viridiplantae; Streptophyta; Magnoliopsida; Malvales; Malvaceae.